GACGAACGCUGGCGGCGUGCUUAACACAUGCAAGUCGAGCGGUAAGGCCUUUCGGGGUACACGAGCGGCGAACGGGUGAGUAACACGUGGGUGAUCUGCCCUGCACUUCGGGAUAAGCCUGGGAAACUGGGUCUAAUACCGGAUAUGACCUCCUAUCGCAUGGUGGGUGGUGGAAAGAUUUAUCGGUGCAGGAUGGGCCCGCGGCCUAUCAGCUUGUUGGUGGGGUAAUGGCCUACCAAGGCGACGACGGGUAGCCGACCUGAGAGGGUGACCGGCCACACUGGGACUGAGACACGGCCCAGACUCCUACGGGAGGCAGCGGUGGGGAAUAUUGCACAAUGGGCGAAAGCCUGAUGCAGCGACGCCGCGUGAGGGAUGACGGCCUUCGGGUUGUAAACCUCUUUCAGCAGGGACGAAGCGCAAGUGACGGUACCUGCAGAAGAAGCACCGGCUAACUACGUG
RNAcentral lists this ribosomal RNA (462 nucleotides) under uncultured bacterium. RNAcentral describes it as "partial 16S ribosomal RNA". It matches the Rfam family "Bacterial small subunit ribosomal RNA", at positions 28 to 507 of the family's 1533-position model. The record is from RNAcentral.